GACGAACGCUGGCGGCGUGCUUAACACAUGCAAGUCGAACGGAAAGGCCCUGCUUUUGUGGGGUGCUCGAGUGGCGAACGGGUGAGUAACACGUGAGUAACCUGCCCUUGACUUUGGGAUAACUUCAGGAAACUGGGGCCAAUACCGGAUAGGAGCUCCUGCUGCAUGGUGGGGGUUGGAAAGUUUCGGCGGUUGGGGAUGGACUCGCGGCUUAUCAGCUUGUUGGUGGGGUAGUGGCUUACCAAGGCUUUGACGGGUAGCCGGCCUGAGAGGGUGACCGGCCACAUUGGGACUGAGAUACGGCCCAGACUCCUACGGGAGGCAGCAGUGGGGAAUAUUGCACAAUGGGCGGAAGCCUGAUGCAGCAACGCCGCGUGCGGGAUGAAGGCCUUCGGGUUGUAAACCGCUUUCGCCUGUGACGAAGCGUGAGUGACGGUAAUGGGUAAAGAAGCACCGGCUAACUACGUG
RNAcentral lists this ribosomal RNA (468 nucleotides) under uncultured bacterium. RNAcentral's name for it is "partial 16S ribosomal RNA". It matches the Rfam family "Bacterial small subunit ribosomal RNA", at positions 28 to 507 of the family's 1533-position model. The record is from RNAcentral.